Molecule: small RNA, 112 nt
Filed under: Gallionella capsiferriformans
Lineage: Bacteria; Pseudomonadati; Pseudomonadota; Betaproteobacteria; Nitrosomonadales; Gallionellaceae
Also listed under: 1 other name
Description: Guanidine-I sequence
Rfam family: Guanidine-I riboswitch aptamer
About the family: This family represents a conserved RNA structure found upstream of the ykkC and yxkD genes in Bacillus subtilis and related genes in other bacteria. The function of this family is unclear although it has been suggested that it may function to switch on efflux pumps and detoxification systems in response to harmful environmental molecules.
Source: RNAcentral
UUGCAGAAGAACUAGGGUUCCGACUGCCAAUUAAAUUUUGGCAGUGUCUGGUCCGAGAGUUCUCGGUCUUGUCGAUGAUAAGACUUCACGGAGGGAUAAAAGCCCGGGAGGU